AUAUAUGCAUUAUAUAUAUAUAUGCAUGUUAUGUAUGCAUGCACAGACACACUAUAUAUAGGGUCCUACAUUUAGGCCUUAGCUUAAUGAGUACUACUUUGGUAUCCCUGUAUUAGAGAGGAAGUAGUGUGGGGAGAAGCAAGUGAUGUGAAGGGAGAAUAUAUAUAUGAAAAAUGAGGCAGGAAAAGACAAAGAUUGAAAGAGAAAUCUACAAUGUUCCACUUUGGAACUGUUAGAAGUGGGACCAUUUGUCACCAGCACCCUCUGAUGUAUAUACGCGGUUCAUGCCAAUGGCAAGAGAGAAGAGCUCAGCUGAUGCCAACCUUCUCUUUAUAGAACUAAAAAUAUGUAUUUAUCGGUGUCUUUUCUUUUUUUGUUCAUUCUCUCUCUCCCUCUUUCUCUCUCUUUCUUUUUUCAUUUUUCUUUUUUUUAAAGAGAAACAGUAGAAAUAGGGAUUAUUUUGUGCCUAGUUUUGUAAAAGUAAUUUAUUUCUUCUUCUUUUAUGUUUUUUGUGACAAUGACAUAGCAGGUGUAUUUUUGAAUGGGGGGGAACUUAUACACCACUUUACCUCAUUGGAACAGAAAUGUGUCCAGUCAGUUACCCUGUUACAUGUGCUCAUGUUGAUUUUUGCUGUCCGAGAUGCCUGCAAUUAGUUUACAGCCAUGUAAGUUAAUGUGAAAGUUAAUCAGUUUUUAACCUUGGGAUUGAUAAAUUGCAGUUCUGCUGUCAGGUAGGAUGAUGUUUUGUUCACGUUUCAUUAACUUACUCAGAAGCUUUCUGAGAACAUACUAUUGUGUCCUUAACUUUACAGCCAUCUCCCUUUUUUUAUGAAGUUAAGGAUGAAUUGAGUGAAUUACCAUGAACAAUUGUAACAAAUGGCUGAUUUCUCUCCAGAAUGGGUAAAGAGAUUAUUUAGAGGUAUGUUCAAAGAUUUGCUGUCAACUUCAGUUUAGUUUUUGUUAAAAAUAAAACAAUUUAAUGAAGUCUAUCAAUGGACAUUCACCUGGACUAGGGUAUUAGAAUUGGAAAAUGAAAUUGGAUAGCUACAAGGGUGGAACUGAUUAAUCUGGUUUCAGUGUCCAAGCUGAGACAACUAUUAACCAAGAAAACAGUACAAAUAUGGAGAAAUAAAUUGAGAAAGAAAUGUAUUUUAAAUAAAAAAUCCUUCCAGUCUAUCUGAGAUAUUAAACCAAUACAGAGAAGGACUUAAAAUAUUAGCUUUGACAAUGUCCUUUUAAGCACUCUUGGUGUCUUUUCUUCUGUUUUGGUGUUGCCCAAUUUAUCUAGCGCAAACAUUUUUAGAAGUGUGGUGCUGUUAAGGACAGAUAUGAAAUCUUGACAGCAACACAUGAGUUUGAUUUUCCAUACAACUGAGUUGUUCCUUCUUUGACUCCCCCCCACACACACACACACACAUGCACACAUGCAUACACACCAUUUGAGAAAGAAUGUCAGAGAAGCUGGUGGGGACUGGGCGUCAGAAAGUCAAGUUAAUGUGAUAGAGUCCAAAGCCUGACACUUCUAUCUGUUCCAGGUUUUCCAAAUUGUUCUAAGUAGUUUUUGGUAUGGAGGAAAAAAAGGGACAAUAACACAUGCUGUUAUUUUCCUUAGGAUGGGCUGAAGGUAGGUAGUUAGGAAGAGGAAAAGAAACUAAGCAAUGGAAAAUGUAGGACGAAUAUUAAUCUGUUCCCAGCCUUAUUUUAUGCUAUGUGAAUUCCACUUUUCAGAAAGUGUGAUUACAUGUACACAAAUGAACUCUUAAGGUCUUUUCAGGAAGAUCCAUCAAGUCAUUCCAUUCAUUAAAGUUAUCAUUAUCCAUGACUGAGUAUUGUAGAUUGUUGUAUCUUUUUAUGACCCUGUGGGAUACUUAAUAGAUUAAAUCUUUUAACACAGAAACAUAAGAAUUGCCAUACUAGAUCAAACCAGUGGUUCAUCUAAUCCAGUAUCCACUCUUUGACAGUGUCCAGAAAAUUAGGGAAGGUGCAAGUAUCCAAACAGGACCAUUUUGGUGUAACUGGGCAUUUCUACAUGAGACGCUGUUUGUGCAGCAGCCGGAAAAUACUGCACAGUAGAGCACCACAGCACAGACAGUGGUAAUACACUGCUGCAUAGUACUAUUAGGUUGUUGCACAGUAGCAUCACCUAAAAGAUGUUCUCCAACACCACUGCACAAUAACUCUGGUUACUGUGCAGUAGCGCCUUAUGUAAAUGCACCCACUGAUUUUUAACCAAUAGCCAGUUAUUGAUUGAUUUAUGCCUCUAUGAUUUUACUCUGCCUAAUGCAGCCGCAAAUACCCUCAUUCUCCAUAUAAAUGGCUGACUCUCUUUGGAAUCUAAGAAGGUUUAGGGCUCAAAUCUGUCUUGUGGCAGUGAGUUCCAUACUCAAAAAUUCCUAUUUUCAGGUGUUUAAAAAAAAUAACUAU
Molecule: long non-coding RNA, 2424 nt
Organism: Gavialis gangeticus (Gharial)
Lineage: Eukaryota; Metazoa; Chordata; Crocodylia; Gavialidae
Exons: 3
Source: RefSeq, a predicted model, not a curated record